GUGCUUGCUUCGGCAGCACAUAUACUAAAAUUGUAAUGAUAAAGAGAAGAUCAGCAUGACCCCUGCACAAGGAUGACAUGCAAAUGCAUGAAACUUUCCAUAUUUUU
This is a small nuclear RNA of Sciurus vulgaris (Eurasian red squirrel), 107 nucleotides long. The record is from Ensembl. NCBI's taxonomy places the organism in Eukaryota, Metazoa, Chordata, Mammalia, Rodentia, Sciuridae.